RNAcentral lists this ribosomal RNA (467 nucleotides) under uncultured bacterium. RNAcentral describes it as "partial 16S ribosomal RNA". It matches the Rfam family "Bacterial small subunit ribosomal RNA", at positions 28 to 507 of the family's 1533-position model. The record is from RNAcentral.
GACGAACGCUGGCGGCGUGCUUAACACAUGCGAGUCGAACGGAAAGGCCUCUUUCGGGGGGUACUCGAGUGGCGAACGGGUGAGUAACACGUGAGUAACCUGCCCUUGACUUUGGGAUAACUUCAGGAAACUGGGGCUAAUACCGGAUAGGAGCUCCUGCUGCAUGGUGGGGGUUGGAAAGUUUCGGCGGUUGGGGAUGGACUCGCGGCUUAUCAGCUUGUUGGUGGGGUAGUGGCUUACCAAGGCUUUGACGGGUAGCCGGCCUGAGAGGUUGACCGGCCACAUUGGGACUGAGAUACGGCCCAGACUCCUACGGGAGGCAGCAGUGGGGAAUAUUGCACAAUGGGUGGAAGCCUGAUGCAGCAACGCCGUGUGCGGGAUGACGGCCUUCGGGUUGUAAACCGCUUUCGCUCAUGACGAAGCUUUGUGUGACGGUAGUGGGUAAAGAAGCACCGGCUAACUACGUG